UACGAAGGGGGCUAGCGUUGCUCGGAAUCACUGGGCGUAAAGGGUGCGUAGGCGGGUCUUUAAGUCAGGGGUGAAAUCCUGGAGCUCAACUCCAGAACUGCCUUUGAUACUGAGGAUCUUGAGUUCGGGAGAGGUGAGUGGAACUGCGAGUGUAGAGGUGAAAUUCGUAGAUAUUCGGAAGAACACCAGUGGCGAAGGCGGCUCACUGGACUGGUAUUGACGCUGAGGUACGAAAGCGUGGGGAGCAAACAGG
This 253-nucleotide ribosomal RNA is filed under the name uncultured bacterium. Its description in RNAcentral is "partial 16S ribosomal RNA". It matches the Rfam family "Bacterial small subunit ribosomal RNA", at positions 524 to 776 of the family's 1533-position model. The record is from RNAcentral.